RNAcentral lists this ribosomal RNA (492 nucleotides) under uncultured bacterium. Its description in RNAcentral is "partial 16S ribosomal RNA". It matches the Rfam family "Bacterial small subunit ribosomal RNA", at positions 29 to 507 of the family's 1533-position model. The record is from RNAcentral.
AGUGAACGCUGGCGGUAGGCCUAAUACAUGCAAGUCGAACGGCAGCACAGUAAGAGCUUGCUCUUACGGGUGGCGAGUGGCGGACGGGUGAGGAAUACAUCGGAAUCUACUUUUUCGUGGGGGAUAACGUAGGGAAACUUACGCUAAUACCGCAUACGACCUACGGGUGAAAGCAGGGGAUCUUCGGACCUUGCGCGAUUGAAUGAGCCGAUGUCGGAUUAGCUAGUUGGCGGGGUAAAGGCCCACCAAGGCGACGAUCCGUAGCUGGUCUGAAAGGAUGAUCAGCCACACUGGAACUGAGACACGGUCCAGACUCCUACGGGAGGCAGCAGUGGGGAAUAUUGGACAAUGGGCGCAAGCCUGAUCCAGCCAUACCGCGUGGGUGAAGAAGGCCUUCGGGUUGUAAAGCCCUUUUGUUGGGAAAGAAAAGCAGCAGGUUAAUACCCCGCUGUUCUGACGGUACCCAAAGAAUAAGCACCGGCUAACUUCGUG